GUGCCAAAAACCAGGGAACCACAUGCCUAAGAGUCUCUCUCUUGGCGUGUGGAUUUAAAUCCAUGCGCAUGAGCCACAUGGCGCAUGGAUGGAGUUGGCGCCACCUUUAGAUAAGGUCUAUCCUAUUUUUCUCCGCAAUCUUUAUUCUACAAAUGUAUUUCAGAUGUCUUAGGAGGCGCCUAAGAGUCCUUCUAAGUAUUAAACUCAUCGUAGAAGAAUUAAGAAAAGGAUAAGGAUUAAAUCCAUGCGCCACCUCUUGGAAGCGCCCCUUUGAAAUUUCAAAUGGGGAGAUAAGUUUUAAAUUAUCCACGCCCAUUAAUCUCUUGCGCCAUUCUUCAAAUUGGCACCAUAUAUAUUGGCCAUUGGAUGGGCUUUCUUCCAGAUCCAAAGGCAUGGGUUGAUGGCGUCAAUAAGAGAAGCUUCGUGACUUCUCAUCUGAACACCGUAAGUUAAA
RNAcentral lists this long non-coding RNA (454 nucleotides) under Elaeis guineensis (African oil palm). RNAcentral's name for it is "long non-coding RNA (EGUI_LNC072203)". The record is from RNAcentral. Lineage: Eukaryota; Viridiplantae; Streptophyta; Magnoliopsida; Arecales; Arecaceae.